UACGUAGGGGGCUAGCGUUGUCCGGAAUCAUUGGGCGUAAAGAGCGUGUAGGCGGCCCGGUAAGUCCGCUGUGAAAGUCGGGGGCUCAACCCUCGGAUGCCGGUGGAUACUGUCGGGCUCGAGUACGGAAGAGGCGAGUGGAAUUCCUGGUGUAGCGGUGAAAUGCGCAGAUAUCAGGAGGAACACCUAUUGCGAAGGCAGCUCGCUGGGACGUUACUGACGCUGAGACGCGAAAGCGUGGGGAGCAAACAGG
This 253-nucleotide ribosomal RNA is filed under the name uncultured bacterium. Its description in RNAcentral is "partial 16S ribosomal RNA". It matches the Rfam family "Bacterial small subunit ribosomal RNA", at positions 524 to 776 of the family's 1533-position model. The record is from RNAcentral.